UGGCGCAUGCGCAGGAGGCGCUGAGCGGCGACCGGUGGGCGCGAUGAAGCAAGUAUUCAGCCUAUCAGAAAAAGCUUGGUCUGGUUCCCCUGUGCAGUUUGCUUGGCAGAAAACUUUGGGAACUUUCCUUGCUUUAACAGGAGGUGAUAAUGCUGUGAAAAUUUUUGAUCGUCAUGGUCAGAAGAGAAAUGAAAUCAGCUUACCAGGUAACUGUGUUGCUAUGGACUGGGACAAAGAUGGAGAUACUUUAGCAAUAAUCGCAGACAAAUCUAGUGCCAUAUUUCUGUGGGAUGCAAACACAAACAAAACAAGCCAAGUAGACAGUGGAAUGAGGGAUGCAAUGUCUUUCUUACUAUGGUCUCGAGUUGGAACUUUACUUGCUGUUGGAACCUCAAAGGGAAACUUACUUAUAUAUAACAGACAAACUUCUCGCAAGAUUCCUGUUCUUGGUAAGCAUACUAAGCGGAUUACUUGUGGUUGCUGGAGUACUGAAAACCUUCUGGCUUUAGGCGGUGAAGACAAAAUAAUUACUAUAAGCAAUCAGGAAGGGGAUACUAUAAGACAGACCUCAGUGAGCUCAGAUCCCAGUGAUAUGCAGUUCUCAGUUAUGAAGACUGAUGAAAGAGUAUCAACCAGGGAAAGCACAGUAAGUGUAGUGGUCGGCAAGAAGACACUCUUUCUUUUUAAUUUGAAUGAUCCUGAUAACCCGAUUGAUCUGACAUUUCAGCAGGCUUAUGGCAGUAUUGUAUCCUACAGAUGGUAUGGUGAUGGCUACAUUAUGAUUGGUUUCUCACGAGGGUGUUUGGUAGUAAUCUCUACACACAUUCGUGAGAUAGGUCAAGAAAUCUUUCAAGCUCAUAAUCAUAAGGAUAAUCUAAGCAGCAUUGCUAUAUCACAGUCAUUAAACAAAGCUGCAUCGUGUGGAGACAAUUGCAUUAAAAUUCAUGACCUGUCAGACCUGAGAGAAAUGUAUGCCAUAAUAAGCUUGGAUGAUGAAAACAAAGGUGUAGACAAGCUGGCUUGGACAGAUGAUGGACAGUUGUUGGCAGUAUCUUCACGAAUAGGAUCCCUCCAUGUUUUCUUGACAAAACUUCCAAUCCUUGGAGAUGCUUGCAAUACACGGAUUGCAUACCUCACUUCCCUUCUUGAAGUUACUAUAGCAAAUCACGUGGAGAGAGAGCUACCAGUCACAGUCUCUGUUGAAGUAGAGCCAAGUUUUGUGGCUAUUGGUGUUUAUCAUUUGGCUGUAGGAAUGAACAAUCGGGCUUGGUUUUAUGCACUUGGAGAGAAUAAUGUAAAAAAGCUUAAAGAUGUGGAGUACUUGGGGACCGUAGCAAGUAUGCACCUUAAUUCCGAUUAUGCGGCUGCUCUCUUUGAGGGUAAAGUCCAGUUGCAUAUGGUAGAAGGUGAAGGUUUGGAUGCUCAAGAAGAACGAGAAACUCGACUCUUCCCAGCAGAUGAUGAUAAAUACCAGAUUUUGUGCCAUGCUUUAACUAGUGACUUCCUCAUAUAUGGUACAGAUACUGGAGUUAUUAAUUAUUUCCACAUCGAAGACUGGCAAUAUGUGAAUGAAUAUCGGCAUUCUGUCAGCGUGAGAAAAGUUUUUCCAGAUCCCAAUGGAACCAGAUUGGCUUUCAUAGAUGACAAAAGUGAUGGCUUUGUCUACUGCCCAGUAAAUGAUAGAUUAUAUGAGAUUCCAGACUUCUCACCAAAUAUUAAAGGAAUCCUGUGGGAACACUGGCCAAUGGAUAAAGGUGUUUUUGUUGCUUUUGAUGAUGAUAAAGCAUACACCUACGUUUUUUAUAAGGAUGCCAUUCAAGGAUCAAAGAUUAUUUUGGCAGGUGGCACAGAAGUCCCCUUUUCCCACAAGCCUUUGUUGCUGUAUAAUGGAGAAUUAACUUGUCAGACUCCGAGUGGGAAAACAAACAAUAUGUAUCUGAGCACUCACAGGUUCCUUGGCAAUUUGAAAGACUUGGGACCUAAUGAGCUGACACAAAUGCUUACUCAGACUUUAACGUUGAAAAGGUUUUCUGAAGCAUGGGAGUUGUGCAGACUUCUGAAUGACCAGUCUGGGUGGAAUGAGCUGGGCAAAGCUUGCUUAUAUCAUAUGGAGGUGGAUUUUGCAAUACGUGUUUAUCGGACAUUUGGUAAUGCUGGGAUGGUGAUGUCACUAGAACAAAUAAAGGGAAUAGAAGAGCACAACCUUUUAGCAGGACAUCUUGCCAUGUUUACUGGCGAUUUUAAUCUGGCUCAGGAUUGGUAUCUGGCAUCCUCCUGUCCUGUUGCUGCACUUGAGAUGCGAAAAGACUUGCAACACUGGGACAGUGCACUUCAGCUGGCUAAGCGUUUGGCUCCAGACCAGAUCCCUUUCCUAUCAAAGGAAUAUGCAAUGCAGCUUGAAUUCACGGGUGAUUAUAGUAAUGCUCUGUUGCACUAUGAGAAGGGAAUCACAGGAAAUAAUAAGUACCAGGAUCAUGAUGAAGCUUGCCUUGCUGGAGUGGCUCAAAUGUCUAUUCGAGUAGGAGAUAUCCGUCGAGGGGUAAACCAGGCCAUUAAACAUCCCAGUAGGUUGCUAAAGAGAGACUGUGGAGCUAUUCUGGAGAAUAUGAAGCAAUUUUCAGAAGCUGCUCAGCUCUAUGAAAAGGGACAGUAUUAUGACAAGGCAGCAUCAGUGUACAUCCGAUGUAAAAACUGGGCAAAGGUUGGUGAACUUCUUCCUCAUGUUUCAUCUCCAAAGAUUCACCUACAAUAUGCAAAGGCCAAGGAAGCAGAUGGCAGGUACAACGAAGCUGUGAUAGCUUAUGAGCAUGCGAAACAAUGGGAUAGUGUAAUUCGACUAUAUUUGGAUCACCUCAAUAAUCCUGAGAAGGCUGUUAAUAUUGUGAGAGAAACACAGUCUCUUGAUGGAGCAAAGAUGGUGGCCAGAUUCUUCCUCCAGCUUGGUGACUAUGGUUCUGCCAUCCAGUUCCUAGUCAUGUCCAAGUGCAAUAAUGAAGCUUUCACAUUAGCUCAACAGCACAAUAAGAUGGAGAUUUAUGCUGAUAUCAUCAGUUCUGAAAGCGCUACCAAUGAAGAUUAUCAGAGCAUUGCACUCUAUUUUGAAGAAGAAAAGAAACAUUUUCAGGCGGGAAAGUUUUUCUUGCUGUGUGGUCAAUAUGGAAGGGCAUUAAAACACUUUAUGAAAAGUCCAGGCACAGAAGAUAACUUGGCUAUAGAAAUGGCAAUUGAAACAGUGGGACGGGCAAAAGAUGAAGCCCUAACAAAUCAGCUGAUAGACUAUCUUAUGGGAGAGAGUGAUGGCAUGCCCAAGGAUGCCAAGUACCUAUUCCAUUUAUACAUGGCACUGAAGCAAUACAAGGAAGCUGCCAGAACUGCUAUAAUAAUUGCCAGGGAGGAGCAGUGUUCAGGAAACUACCGAAAUGCACACGAUGUUCUUUUCAGCAUGUAUUCAGAGUUAAAGACCCAGAAGAUAAAAAUCCCUUCCGAGAUGGCUACAAACCUUAUGAUUCUACACAGCUAUAUGUUAGCAAAGACUCACAUCAAACAUGGUGAUCACAUGAAGGGAGCACGUAUGCUUAUACGUGUAGCCAACAACAUCAGCAAGUUCCCAUCACAUGUAGUGCAAAUUUUGACUUCAGUUGUAAUCGAGUGUCACAGAGCAGGACUGAAGAACUCAGCCUUCAGUUUUGCUGCUAUGUUGAUGAGACCUGAGUAUCGCAAUAAAAUAGACCUUAAAUACAAAAAGAAAAUUGAAGCAGUGGUCAGACAUCCAAGCACAACAGCGAUAGAAGAGCCAACAACAGCCUGUCCCUACUGUGCAUUCCAGCUCCCAGAGUGUGAACUUCUGUGUCCCAGCUGCAAGAACAAUCUCCCAUACUGUAUUGCAACUGGUCGCCACAUGGUCCAAGAUGACUGGACAGUCUGCCCGCACUGUGACUUCCCUGCCCUCUAUUCAGAAUUCAAAAAGUAAGUUGAGAUCUUUUUUCUACUGCAGGAUUUCAAUGCUUGAUCCUAUUUUAGCAGCAAAUUGCUUCAUUUGAUACUAAAACCAGGUAACAGCUGGGUUGGGGUGGAAGAGGAAUCCCUUUACGUGGUAGUUUCACCUAACAUAAAGAACAUCGCUUCAAAGUGGACCAGAAACUGCAAUAAAGAACUCUACCAGAAUGCAGGGCUGCAGCACCAUGACCAGAGAUGGCCAGACUUGUGCAAGUUCUCAGCUCCUUCCAGGAAGACAACCUGAUGUGGGGCAGGGGAAACAUGGGCACAGCAGCAGUCACCAAAACCAAAUACACACAAUACUAGGGCAGACUAAGGCAGCAACAGCCUCUCAUCCCUGAUAAUCAUCCAUGUGGGAAUGGGACAGGAUAGCUCUUCUUCAGAUGUCAGAACUGUGAAGCUGCAGAAACUUCAUGUUCUAGUCCAGGCUUCUCUGUAUAUGCCUGGCUCUUCCUUAGGAAAACGUUAGAAUUCCCAUCUGAUUCAUCACCCUUUCUUUUUGAAACAGCAUGUUAGAGACUGAAAACACAUGUCCAAUGUGUUCUGAAAGGAUUGACA
This is an RNA transcript of Pezoporus occidentalis (night parrot), 4554 nucleotides long. It is a transcript of the gene named WD repeat domain 19, with no coding region annotated. NCBI's taxonomy places the organism in Eukaryota, Metazoa, Chordata, Aves, Psittaciformes, Psittacidae. The record is from RefSeq and is a predicted model, not a curated record. The transcript has 36 exons.